AUCACUUCCCGGCCUUUUGGCUAAGAUCAAGUGUAGUAUCUGUUCUUACCAGUUUUCAUUCUUUUUUAUGGAUGGAUAGGUAAUAUUCUAUUAUAUACAUAUAUACACACACGCACACGGUAUCUUUA
Molecule: small nuclear RNA, 128 nt
Filed under: Zalophus californianus (California sea lion)
Lineage: Eukaryota; Metazoa; Chordata; Mammalia; Carnivora; Otariidae
Description: U2 spliceosomal RNA (ENSZCAG00015009179.1)
Rfam family: U2 spliceosomal RNA
About the family: U2 is a small nuclear RNA (snRNA) component of the spliceosome (involved in pre-mRNA splicing).
Source: RNAcentral